UUACGGCCAUAUUAGAUUCAAAAACCGGUUCUCGUCAGAAUACCGAAGUUAAGCAACAUAGAGCCUGCUCAUUACCUAGAUGGGUAACAGCUUGGGAAUACUAGGUGCUGUAAG
Acanthosepion pharaonis is the source of this 114-nucleotide non-coding RNA. Lineage: Eukaryota; Metazoa; Mollusca; Cephalopoda; Sepiida; Sepiidae. The record is from the annotation of a GenBank genome assembly.